GACGAACGCUGGCGGUGUGCUUAACACAUGCAAGUCGAACGGUAAGGCCCUUUCGGGGGUACACGAGUGGCGAACGGGUGAGUAACACGUGAGUAACCUGCCCUCAUCUCUGGGAUAACAGUCGGAAACGGUUGCUAAUACUGGAUAUGAGCUUGCAAGGCAUCUUGUGGGUUGGAAAGAUUUUUUUUGGUUGGGGAUGGACUCGCGGCCUAUCAGCUUGUUGGUGAGGUAGUGGCUCACCAAGGCUUCGACGGGUAGCCGGCCUGAGAGGGCGGCCGGCCACAUGGGGACUGAGAUACGGCCCAAACUCCUACGGGAGGCAGCAGUGGGGAAUAUUGCACAAUGGACGGAAGUCUGAUGCAGCAACGCCGCGUGCGGGAUGACGGCCUUCGGGUUGUAAACCGCUUUCAAUUGUGACGAAGCUUUUUUGUGACGGUAGCAGUAGAAGAAGCACCGGCUAACUACGUG
This 468-nucleotide ribosomal RNA is filed under the name uncultured bacterium. RNAcentral's name for it is "partial 16S ribosomal RNA". It matches the Rfam family "Bacterial small subunit ribosomal RNA", at positions 28 to 507 of the family's 1533-position model. The record is from RNAcentral.